Long non-coding RNA from Anthonomus grandis grandis, 2862 nucleotides. RefSeq lists it as uncharacterized. The record is from RefSeq and is a predicted model, not a curated record. The transcript is spliced from 2 exons. Lineage: Eukaryota; Metazoa; Arthropoda; Insecta; Coleoptera; Curculionidae.
AAGUUGUUUUGUAAGUUAUACUUUAAACUAUUCUAUUUAAACUAAAUCAAGUAAUUAAAGAGUAUUAAAAGUUAUUUGCACUGUACUGUAAAAUUUGAUAUGACUUAUGUCAUUAUGGAUGAAAGGGCCGCAAUUUUACUAUUUCAUUUUUAUAAACAAAGUUUCAGGACCAACAGAAUUGGAAACCCUAUGCCUUAACAGAAGUAAUAUGCAAUCAUACAAUUGCUGUAUUGCACAACUGCAGGAAUUGUUCAUUUGCUGUUGUUCCCAAAUCCUAAAACUUGAAUUGCGUGAAUAAAGGUGAGAAGUAACGAGCCAUGGAACAUAAUGUUAAAUCGUUAUACUGAAAUGCAAUGAAAUGACCAAAAAGUCAUUUGAAAUGGUAUGCAAAUUAUUGCAGCUUUACUUACAGCGUAAGAAAAAUAUGCUAGAACCAAGAGAUCCACCUUUUGUAGCCCAACAAGUAGUAAUACGUGUGUUUAAGUACUGCUGUUGUGCAGAAUAUAGAGUAGUAGGUUCAGUAUUCGGCAUCCGCAAAUUACUACUUUUACUAUUAUGGACCUGAAAAUACAUGUGGACAAAAUUACGUCCUUUCACAAAUUAGACCAAAGUAUUUUUGCGAAAAACACCACACCACAUUUAAAUAUGAUACUAUUUACUAUUGCUUUAAACAGAAUCUUAGACAUUCAUUCAAACUCGUUCAAAAAUAAUUUUUAAUUUUAAAAUUUUUUUAAGUCUUUCGUCGAAGUAUAAAAAGUAGUUGCUUAAAUUGCCUAAAAGUGCGAUACAUCGACAUUAGAAUAUUGGUGUAUAUUUAUUAGAAUUUCUUAUGUGACAAAAUUCUAAGUUCCAUGAAUAUUAGAAGAAUGUAAUAAUAAAAUAUAUCCUUCAAAAAUAAGUUUUAUGUCUGGGUCAUAGCUUAUUAAAUUUUACAAUUAAUAACCUCAACACUAUUAAAAAAUAUAUAAAUAUUUUUCUCGUGUUUCUUUUAUAAAGCCCUGUGAAUAAAUUAAAUGAAAGUCGAUGAGUUGGCGAAUAAUUUUAUUGUCUCUUUCUAUAUAUCUUUACAGUUCAUAUUUAUUUUAAAUAAAUAGAUAUUUCUACGAGAACCCAGCUGCAAUUUAAAAUUAGUUUUAUUUUUAAAUGCAUCGAGGCGGCGGCUCAAAUUUGCUUUGCGAAUAGUUGUUCAAUGAAUUGAUAACGAAGCUUUAAAAUCGAAACGCUAUUUUGACAAAAGCCCAUUUUGAACUAAAUUACUUCCAAUCUCCAUUGAACUUGACUUCAAAGGCCGUGUUUAAUGAGUACUUGAUGUUACAAUCAAAAUGAUGGAUUCAGUGUAUUAAGAGAUACAGGAAAUUAGCUUCCUGUGUUCACCGGUGUCGACUUAUAAAAAAAAAGGUUUUUAUACGGGUAUAUUACUGUUUUAAAAUUAAUUAUUGCUUAUUUUGUUGAUUUAUAAGGAGUAAGAUAAGUUUAAGAAAACUUAUGCCAAAAUAAAUAAAAAUAACUAGGAUCCUAGAAUAGAGAUCUCUGAUACUCAAACAGAGAAAUUCCUUCAUAAGCGCAUACUCCUUAAGAGUGCUUUUAUCUCCUCUUUUGUAUAGAACAUGGUGGUGAACGGGCUAUCUUAGAACUAAAGCAAGCUUAAUUCAGUACUAUAUGAUGUGAAGGGGGCAUUUAAACAUCAGUAGGUUCUUUAACUUCCUUAAUAGGGACAUUUACCAGGCAAGCCAAAAUUAAGGAAUUAGAACCUCUAGCACUAAACGGUAGAGAAAUUUCUUUGUUAAGAGAAAAAAACUAAAUUCUUUGGGGUAACUCAAGUUGAGCUGGAAGCAACAUUUGGAUCAAACAGUCAAGCGUUUGAAAAUCAUCCUUAUACCUAGAGAGACCUACAAACCAUUAGAUUUACCAAUACUGGAAUGAGUAAACGAAAAUAUUAGAAGAACCUUUGAUAAUAAGCAGAUCCUAUUAUCUGACAACCAGGUAAUCCUGAAGGUACUUGCGUUAAACCUGGGAUUUGGAAUAUGGAAUAUAUAAACUGGGAUACGGAAUUGCCUAUUGGAAGUCAAAACAGGAGCCAGCCGUCUACCAAGAAAUGAAAAAACAAAUACUUCUUGCCGUACUUAAUGCCUAUAUAAGCUUAUGAUCGACUUUGGACCUAGUUGGAAGAUUUAGACUUUACAGCUAUCACCGACCAUCAUGCACUGUUAUGGUUAAUGAAUCUAAAUGAUCCUAGAGGGAGGCUGCCUCGAUGGGAUAUAGCAUUAUAACAAUAUGGCUAUGAUUAAGUACAUAAAAAAAGGGAAUGAUCGUCAUAUUCCGGAUUGUCUUGCAAGAUCAGCUCCAAAUAUAGAUACGGUGCAGGCUAGUAAAAACACUGUUAACCCAGUUAAAAGACCAGUGGUAUUAGAGAAAAAUAGAUGCGGUAUAUAAAAAUCCUCGUAAGUAUUUGCUAUGAGGAGUGAAAAAUGGCUGCUGUCUAUAAAUGUUUGGUGGUAGGAUUUGUGGCAACUGAGGUUUGUUUGCAGUUAUGCCGACUGAAUAGAACUGUUCGAUGCGGAAUUAAAAAUCCUAUUCAAUUGUGUAUCUAACUCAAAAGUGAACAUUUUGGCGUUUAUGCCGUUUUGGCUUGGCAGCGUCGAAAUAUAGAAUUUUUUUGAAAAUUAAAAUUAAGGAAAUUUUAGAAUAUUUUGUGAUCUGUUACAGGAAAAUUACUCACAAAAUAUUGGAAAACGUGAAAAAUUUGCAGGGCAAGGAGAGCCAAAAACGGCCAAAAAAAAUUAAUAAUUGUUCAUUUUCUCGUCAAAAAUUCGCCAAGGGAUUAUAAAACAAUUUAUCUAAAAUUAAAUGUUUAAUAAUUUA